RNAcentral lists this ribosomal RNA (497 nucleotides) under uncultured bacterium. RNAcentral's name for it is "partial 16S ribosomal RNA". It matches the Rfam family "Bacterial small subunit ribosomal RNA", at positions 28 to 507 of the family's 1533-position model. The record is from RNAcentral.
GAUGAACGCUGGCGGCGUGCCUAAUACAUGCAAGUCGAGCGAACGGACGAGAAGCUUGCUUCUCUGAUGUUAGCGGCGGACGGGUGAGUAACACGUGGAUAACCUACCUAUAAGACUGGGAUAACUUCGGGAAACCGGAGCUAAUACCGGAUGAUAUUUUGAACCGCAUGGUUCAAAAGUGAAAGACGGUCUUGCUGUCACUUAUAGAUGGAUCCGCGCUGCAUUUGCUAGUUGGUAAGGUAACGGCUUACCAAGGCAACGAUGCAUAGCCGACCUGAGAGGGUGAUCGGCCACACUGGAACUGAGACACGGUCCAGACUCCUACGGGAGGCAGCAGUAGGGAAUCUUCCGCAAUGGGCGAAAGCCUGACGGAGCAACGCCGCGUGAGUGAUGAAGGUCUUCGGAUCGUAAAACUCUGUUAUUAGGGAAGAACAUAUGUGUAAGUAACUGUGCACAUCUUGACGGUACCUAAUCAGAAAGCCACGGCUAACCACGUG